GGGGGCGGGGGCCUAAUAAUGCAGUCGAGCGAGCAGAGAAGGAGCUUGCUCCUUUGACGUUAGCGGCGGACGGGUGAGUAACACGUGGGCAACCUACCUUAUAGUUUGGGAUAACUCCGGGAAACCGGGGCUAAUACCGAAUAAUCUGUUUCACCUCAUGGUGAAAUAUUGAAAGACGGUUUCGGCUGUCGCUAUAGGAUGGGCCCGCGGCGCAUUAGCUAGUUGGUGAGGUAACGGCUCACCAAGGCGACGAUGCGUAGCCGACCUGAGAGGGUGAUCGGCCACACUGGGACUGAGACACGGCCCAGACUCCUACGGGAGGCAGCAGUAGGGAAUCUUCCACAAUGGGCGAAAGCCUGAUGGAGCAACGCCGCGUGAGUGAAGAAGGAUUUCGGUUCGUAAAACUCUGUUGUAAGGGAAGAACAAGUACAGUAGUAACUGGCUGUACCUUGACGGUACCUUAUUAGAAAGCCACGGCUAACUACGUGCCAGCAGCCGCGGUAAUACGUAGGUGGCAAGCGUUGUCCGGAAUUAUUGGGCGUAAAGCGCGCGCAGGUGGUUUCUUAAGUCUGAUGUGAAAGCCCACGGCUCAACCGUGGAGGGUCAUUGGAAACUGGGAGACUUGAGUGCAGAAGAGGAUAGUGGAAUUCCAAGUGUAGCGGUGAAAUGCGUAGAGAUUUGGAGGAACACCAGUGGCGAAGGCGACUAUCUGGUCUGUAACUGACACUGAGGCGCGAAAGCGUGGGGAGCAAACAGGAUUAGAUACCCUGGUAGUCCACGCCGUAAACGAUGAGUGCUAAGUGUUAGGGGGUUUCCGCCCCUUAGUGCUGCAGCUAACGCAUUAAGCACUCCGCCUGGGGAGUACGGUCGCAAGACUGAAACUCAAAGGAAUUGACGGGGGCCCGCACAAGCGGUGGGAGCAUGUGGUUUAAUUCGAAGCAACGCGAAGAACCUUACCAGGUCUUGACAUCCCGUUGACCACUGUUAGAGAUAAUGGUUUCCCCUUCGGGGGGCAACGGUGACAGGUGGCUGCAUGGGUUGUCGUCAGCUCGUGGUCGUGAAGAAUGUUGGGGUUAAGUCCCGCCAACGAGCGCAACCCCUUUGAAUCUAGCUGGCAUCAAUUUAGUGGGCACCUCUAAAGGUGGACUGGGCCGGUGAACAAAAAAACC
This 1169-nucleotide ribosomal RNA is filed under the name Lysinibacillus sphaericus. RNAcentral describes it as "bacterial SSU rRNA". It matches the Rfam family "Bacterial small subunit ribosomal RNA", at positions 38 to 1164 of the family's 1533-position model. Lineage: Bacteria; Bacillati; Bacillota; Bacilli; Caryophanales; Bacillaceae. The record is from RNAcentral.